UUGGUAGAUUCAGCUGGCUAGAGUAUAACCUUAAGAACAGCUAAAGCGUCCAUGUGCCUCAACCCUGACCUGGAGGGACCACCUCUAGAGGCUUAUACCAUUCAAGGACAGUAUGCCAUUCCACAGCCAGAUUUGA
RNAcentral lists this small RNA (136 nucleotides) under Dasypus novemcinctus (nine-banded armadillo). RNAcentral describes it as "TUC338 (ENSDNOG00000046060.1)". The record is from RNAcentral. Lineage: Eukaryota; Metazoa; Chordata; Mammalia; Cingulata; Dasypodidae.